UCGGGAAUUUUGCGCAAUGGACGAAAGUCUGACGCAGCAACGCCGCGUGAGGGAUGAAGGCCUUCGGGUUGUAAACCUCUUUUCUCAGGGACGAUAAUGACGGUACCUGAGGAAUAAGCCACGGCUAACUACGUGCCAGCAGCCGCGGUAAUACGUAGGUGGCGAGCGUUGUCCGGAUUUACUGGGCGUAAAGAGCGCGCAGGCGGUCGUGCAAGUCGCGUGUGAAAGCCCCCGGCUCAACUGGGGAGGGUCACGCGAUACUGCUCGACUUGAAGGCAGGAGAGGGAAGUGGAAUUCCCGGUGUAGUGGUGAAAUGCGUAGAUAUCGGGAGGAACACCAGUGGCGAAGGCGACUUCCUGGCCUGUUCUUGACGCUGAGGCGCGAAAGCUAGGGUAGCAAACGGG
Molecule: ribosomal RNA, 404 nt
Filed under: uncultured bacterium
Lineage: Bacteria
Description: bacterial SSU rRNA
Rfam family: Bacterial small subunit ribosomal RNA
Source: RNAcentral